This 150-nucleotide unclassified non-coding RNA is filed under the name uncultured Helotiales. Its description in RNAcentral is "sequence contains ITS2". Lineage: Eukaryota; Fungi; Ascomycota; Leotiomycetes; Helotiales. The record is from RNAcentral.
CAACCCUCAAGCUCUGCUUGGUAUUGGGUGCCACCUAACGUAGUGCAUCUUAAAAUCAGUGGCAGUGCCAUCUGGCUUCCAAGUGUAGUAAUAUUUUCUUGCUUUGGAAGUUUGGAUGCGUGCUUGCCAACAACCCUCUAAUCUAUCAAA